AUUGCUUCUUGGCCUUUUGGCUAAGAUCAAGUGUAAAAUUUUUUUUUUUUGUGGAACCGCCAUACUGUUUUCCAUAGUGGCUGCAUCAGUCUCUUAUCUUUUGAUACUAGCUGUUCAAACAGGUGUGAUUUGGCAUCUCAUAGUGGUUUCGAUUUGCAUUUCCUCGAUGAUGGGUGAUGUUGAACAACCU
This is a small nuclear RNA of Lontra canadensis (Northern American river otter), 190 nucleotides long. RefSeq annotates it as U2 spliceosomal RNA. NCBI's taxonomy places the organism in Eukaryota, Metazoa, Chordata, Mammalia, Carnivora, Mustelidae. The transcript has a single exon. The record is from RefSeq and is a predicted model, not a curated record.